This 1545-nucleotide ribosomal RNA is filed under the name Triticum aestivum (bread wheat). Its description in RNAcentral is "partial small subunit ribosomal RNA". Lineage: Eukaryota; Viridiplantae; Streptophyta; Magnoliopsida; Poales; Poaceae. The record is from RNAcentral.
AUGGCAUCAUUCACAUGUUUUGCAGCUCCUCCUCAACAUAUAGCUCAUGGAGUUCAACUAGAAUUUCCACUUUACAAUUAUAAGCAUCCACAUCUAAAGGAGAAAGCUCCUCUAAACUUUCUAGGACCAGCAACUCCUCCUCAAGCUCUUUCCUUCUUUGAGUUCAGGCAUGAUCUCAUGAGGGUGUUCGACCGUUUCGACUCCCUCUACUCAACAAAUCUGCAUUGGCUCAACUCGGCAAAUAUCAUGCUUCUGCCGAAGAAGGAAGGGGCAGAGAGGAGAUUGGAUUGCGGAUCUAUUAUGUUCCUCUUCUUCGAGAAUCAUGUUGAAUGGGAUGGUUGGCACCCCCAUCAAGCACGGUCGUGGGUUACGACAAGGGGACCCCCUCCCCCUCUUUUUUUCGUCAUCGCUAUUGACCCAAUACAACAAAUCCUCGAUGUGGCCACGAGGAAAGGGCUGCUCCAUAAGAUUAGAGGAAGGAGUGUCAUGGUGCGGAUAUCUCUCUAUGCGGACGACGCAGCAGUGUUCAUGGCCCCGGCUUGGGCACCACCGAAAGUGAUUUUUUUGCUUGGUUUGCGCUUCAGGACAAAAUUUGGACCGCCGGCCGGUUGGCCAAGCGAGGGUGGCCAAACUGUGGUCCUUGUCCCUUGUGCAAGGGAGUGCAGGAAUCAUUUGAUGGACUUAGUUGAGGCCUGGUGGGUGAGUACAUGCGACGUCGGCACCAUCGACAGGAAGGCCAAGGCGUCGAUUGCCAUGCUCGUGUCAUGGGUAAUCUGGAACGAGAGAAACACAAGAGUAUUCCGACACAAGAGAGCUCCUCCGCCGAUUCUGCUCAACACCAUAGUGACCGAGGCAAGUCUUUGGGUCACUGCUGGCCCCGUGACCCGGCCUCUCCAUAUUUUCCAUAUGAUGUGCGUGUGCGGAUCUGGCACUGGUGUGCUUGUCGUCGUCAACGCUUCCAAGACAAGAAAAUGCUGCAAGAAAGAAAGAGUGAUGUGGCCGUCAACAAAGACUAAUGGACAAACUGCCCUUAUCACCUUUCUGCAUUUGGGACUGUCGGUGGACGCGAGAGGGUGGUGCUGCUGCAUUGACAACCCAUGGAAGUCAGUCAAGCCUGCAGUGCUGGGUGGUGAUGCUGCAGGUUUUCUCCUCCGUUCUAUACCACGAUAUUUCUUUGGAGAGAGAGAGAGAGUAGGGAACCCAUAUAAUCAUCCUGCUAGCCCCAUCUGCUCCAGCAUUUGUACGUGUCGUUAUAGAUGGCUCGUGCUCAUGCAGUCAAGUCAUAACCCUGAACUUGAAAGUGAAGUGAGGCCACAGGACACACUUUCAAGGAAAUCCAUCUACCAGUAUUAUGCAAAUCUUGCCGGGGGAGGCAGGCCGCCCACAUGCAUGUGUUGUAUUCUUGUGCUCUCAAGUGAUUGUGCUUUUGGCGGCUUUCGGCUGCCGGCCGGAGCCCACACCACACAAGGCAGCAUGUGCACCUUCACCUACACAUACGUUCUCCUGCACUGGAUUCUUCAGAUAGGGAGAGUGAAGGAGGAUUGA